RNAcentral lists this transfer RNA (73 nucleotides) under Sphaerodactylus townsendi. RNAcentral describes it as "tRNA-Ala". It matches the Rfam family "tRNA". Rfam says of the family: Transfer RNA (tRNA) molecules are approximately 80 nucleotides in length. Their secondary structure includes four short double-helical elements and three loops (D, anti-codon, and T loops). Lineage: Eukaryota; Metazoa; Chordata; Lepidosauria; Squamata; Sphaerodactylidae. The record is from RNAcentral.
AGAGGUUGUGGCUCAGUGGCAGAACAUCUGUUUUGCAUGCAGAAGGGUUCAGGAUCAAUUGCUGGCACCUCCA